UCGUGUACUUUGAGAGAAAGCGUGUGCCAAAGUGUUAGCGUGUGUAUUCCACGUGUAUGCAGUGCUGGGAUUUGUUACUUGUGACAGUUCUGGAUAGAAAAAUAUAUUUUUUAUUUAGUAUUAUUAGCAAGAAAUGGUUAAAAUAUCAACCUUAUGAUGAAUUGUUAUAAGUGAUGGACACACUGUCCUAUUGGAUUAUGAGUACUAAUGCAGUAUUUGGCAUAAUAAUUGGAUGCAUGGUUUCAAAGGGACCACAGAACAAAUCAGAGGCCCAUCCCUGCGCACCAAUGGCCUGUCUCUCAUUUCAGAUGGAGAUUGAAGGGCACGUCUGCUCCGGGGGCGCCCACCGCCCUGAGGGCCUCUGCGUCUCCCCUGCGUGAGAGCUGGACCGCUACACACACCAAAAAACCCGUCGACCCCCGCAAUCGGCUGUCUGUCUGGACCCGCUGUCGAAUACUCCCCGCUGGACACACACAGACACAGACGCACAGUCGGACGGGGCGAGCACUGCUUGGUAAACAAUCGCAGCCACACAUGCUCACGCUAGGAAGGAACAUGAAAACAGCACUAAUGGGAAAAAGAUGAGAGGGCUCACAGCGAGCACACCCAGAGAGGAGGAGGAGAGCGAGCCGGCAGUCGGACACCGCUCGCUGCCUCAGCCCUGCAUGCCGGCACACAAAAACAGCCCUCAGAUAGAAAGAUAGUUCCUGAGGUCACACUGUUUAAAAAAAAAAAAAAAAAGGAAAAAGAUUGGUGGGUUAAAAAGCACUCAGCUGAUUUACAGCCUCUGUGAACUCGUGUGAUUAUUUUAUCCGAACGUUAUAUUAUUAUAAUUUUGCUGUACUACUUUAUUUCUUUCCAGCUAUUAGAGCUAAAUUACCUUAAAUUAUUUUUGCUUUUUUGUCAAAUAUAUUUAGAAUGUUUUAUUUACCCACAAAUUCUUCC
This is a non-coding RNA of Maylandia zebra (zebra mbuna), 945 nucleotides long. The record is from RefSeq and is a predicted model, not a curated record. NCBI's taxonomy places the organism in Eukaryota, Metazoa, Chordata, Actinopteri, Cichliformes, Cichlidae.